Molecule: long non-coding RNA, 2581 nt
Organism: Crotalus tigris (Tiger rattlesnake)
Lineage: Eukaryota; Metazoa; Chordata; Lepidosauria; Squamata; Viperidae
Exons: 4
Source: RefSeq, a predicted model, not a curated record
GAAACAGGGUUUUUCUUCUCCAACUACUUAACACCUAGCCGUGUGACAUUGAGAAGAGGGACGUCCAAAGGCUGCCUUACAAACCACAAUGAUAAACUGACGAUGGACACAAACCUUGGCUUGUGUACAUGUAUCUUGAUCUCAGGUACCUAAAACAUGUGUAUGGAAUUGUAUCAUCACUUGUCCCUGUCUCAGAUGUCCCAAGGGAAGUCAAUGGGAUUGCCAUCUAAAAUACAUAAGCAAAGUACUCAUAGGGGCUUAAGUCUCUUAGUAAAGACCAGUCAGAACGAUAAGAGCUCAACCCUGGCCUCCAAAAACCUGUUUACUCUAAUUCGUUACCAGCUUUCUAAUUAACUUGGCACUCUCUCUCCAAUCUGCUUUGUUUAUAAGAUUAAAUUUCGGAUUGUCAGGACAAGAACGGACCAUGACAUUUUGAUUAGGAAUCUAUUAUUCUCUCCAAAGGCUUCUAUUAUAAUUGCUAUCGGUACAAUAAUAGGAGUCAUGGCAGAAGAUAAGUUUAUAAUGUCCUCUCAACCUUUUAUAAAGCUUUGCAAACGUGACCAGGAAGAAACUUCUGUUUUAUGCCUCUAAAAGAUGAGUAUUAAUUGUUGCUUUUGAUCUGGUUGUCAUGUUACUUUCAGUAUAUUUCUAUGAGAGUAAUUCUGAUGUUGCACUGUGGUUAUUUAUUCAGUAUAUGAAUCAUAGGGUGCAGCAGGUAACAUGAAAUUCAGGAUUAUGAUAAAAUGCAUGAUAGAGUCAACAUGAUGUCAGCCACCAUUGUCCUGUGCUAAGGGAAUCAGUGAAUCUUAAGACUGCCUUCUUCUAUAUCACCCUGCUUGAAUGUUAAGAUCUUUUAAGGCUCUUCUGAUGGAUAAGAGAAGAAAUAACAACUGCAAAACUUCCCAAGUACUCUUUUAGGUACGCUGUAGGGGAAUAUGUGCCUGAAGUCUUUCUUCUCUUUCUCCUCUAACAUUAUUAUAAAUUAUGUUUGUCUGGACCCUUUCAAUUUUUUAGGCUUUGGCCUCUAAGACACCAGGCAUUGUGUGUUUUAGCAGUCUGCUGCUGCCUUUGGAACUGCUUUCUAUUCUGCAUGUCAUGAACUGAAAAACAGUGCAUUAAAACCAAGCUAACACUUAAGAAUGUUCCAAAACAAGAAAGAAGCAACAAAAUCUUUACAUUAAUGCACAAAAGGAGAAUCAAUCUUCCAUAGAGAAAUGUAGGGGGAAAGGUGAAAGGCCUUCCAAUAGAAACACAUUUCUUAACUACAGUCUAUGCUUGCAAUGUUUACAAAAGUUGAAAACUGAACACAACACUGUGUUGGAAAGUGAUAAACUUGUUCUGUAGUCUUGCAAACUAUCUCUUGCUGCCUCCAGUCAUCAGGAAGGACAAAAAUGUCAACAUACCAUGGAAUUUGCUGAUAGAGCAAAGGGAAACCAUUUUCACAUAGGCUGGAUACAAUGCCAGAUUCAUCAGACUCCUGUUUGAUGACAUCUUGCAGAUCAUCUACCAGCGCUCCUGUAACAGCGACUUUAUGAGUACACAGUGGAGUGGAACUUAAAGCGGGAUUGUCCAGAUCCAGACUUUCUUGGAUAGAAGAAGUGCUGAAGAACUGCAAAGAAUGACCAAUGGAGGUGGGCCACAUUUGGAGCCAGUCAAGGACUUUGGCAAGGCAAAGGAAUCCUGACUCAACAUGGCUUUGCUUAAGUCUGCAAGAGAGUGUCCUUCCAGCUUACACACAUUGCUGUCUGUUUUCUGAAGCUGUGGGGUCCUGUCUGAGGGAACCUGGGUAGGUGAAGCAUUUGAUGUUUCUGAGAAUUCAAAACUGCUGCGAUCACCCCAUGAUGACAGAUCCUGGAAACAAUGGGGGAAGCCACGAAUCUAUGAGAAAGUGCAUGUUCCUCCUACCUAUUUUAAGAAGCUCAACUGGAUUACUAACAUAACAGCAUUAACAAAAGGAGAAAGAUCGGUUCCUUUUUAAUUUGAGUUUGACCCAGUUGUGAUACUGUUCCAAAAUGUAAACAUUAAGAUACAAAUCACCCCAAUGAUAUUAUUUCAAAAAAGAAAUAUCUCAAACUGGCUGUUUAAUCAAUUGUAAAAAGUCUUGUUACACAAAGAUAUUCUCCACUGACUAAACUUAUACAAUAGCAACAUCCUUAAACAGAAAACUGUAUAUCAAUCAGUAUGUAUAAUGUUAUAAAUUUUAUGUAUCUCUUAGUUUAUUAAAACUCUCGUCUCAAACUACAGGGCCUAAAAGAAUUCUUACUCUUUAGUUAGAAUCCUUAAUACAAUGAUUUUAUUGAAAUUAUGAUUUAAAAAAACUCAACAGCACUAUAAAAAAAGCCAGGAUCCAAAAGUCUAAUAUAUUACUGAAACAAAAGAUGUAAUAUCAUAUUACUUUUACAGCUUAUGUAAUUUUUUUUGCUAUAAUUAGGCACACAUUAUUUAUAAAGUUUGCUUUUUAUUAAAUUUUUAUGCCACCUAUCUUCCUACAAGGUGACUCUGCGUGGUUAUUCAGCGAAUAGCUGUGUCAUCUGAAUAUUCAUAUUGAGCAGAAUUUCCAGGAUACGUGCAUUCUACAUUU